This 183-nucleotide ribosomal RNA is filed under the name Bacillus amyloliquefaciens. RNAcentral's name for it is "partial 16S ribosomal RNA". It matches the Rfam family "Bacterial small subunit ribosomal RNA", at positions 1 to 180 of the family's 1533-position model. The record is from RNAcentral. Lineage: Bacteria; Bacillati; Bacillota; Bacilli; Caryophanales; Bacillaceae.
UUAUCGGAGAGUUUGAUCCUGGCUCAGGACGAACGCUGGCGGCGUGCCUAAUACAUGCAAGUCGAGCGGACAGAUGGGAGCUUGCUCCCUGAUGUUAGCGGCGGACGGGUGAGUAACACGUGGGUAACCUGCCUGUAAGACUGGGAUAACUCCGGGAAACCGGGGCUAAUACCGGAUGCUUGG